GAUGAACGCUGGCGGCGUGCCUAAUACAUGCAAGUCGAGCGAACGGACGAGAAGCUUGCUUCUCUGAUGUUAGCGGCGGACGGGUGAGUAACACGUGUAUAACCUACCUAUAAGACUGGGAUAACUUCGGGAAACCGGAGCUAAUACCGGAUAAUAUUUUGAACCGCAUGGUUCAAAAGUGAAAGACGGUCUUGCUGUCACUUAUCGAGGGAUCCGUGCUGCAUUAGCUAGUUGGUAAGGUAACGGCUUACCAAGGCAACGAUGCAUAGGCGACCUGAGAGGGUGAUCGGCCACACUGGAGCGGAGACACGGUCCAGACUACUACGGGAGGCAGCAGUAGGGAAUCUUACGCAAUGGGCGAAAGCAUGACGGAGCAAGACCGCGUGAGUGAUGAAGGUCUUCGGAUCGUAAAACUCUGUUAUUAGGGAAGAACAUAUGUGUAAGUAACUGUGCACAUCUUGACGGUACCUAAUCAGAAAGCAACGGCUAACUACGUG
Molecule: ribosomal RNA, 497 nt
Filed under: uncultured bacterium
Lineage: Bacteria
Description: partial 16S ribosomal RNA
Rfam family: Bacterial small subunit ribosomal RNA
Source: RNAcentral